AUGCGGUGGGUUCUUUCCUCUAGGGUUCCGGAGCCGAGAGAAGGCACCUUCACUAAAGAUGAGUCUCCCUCUCCUUCGGAUUCCUUAGAAGAGAUCAUCAGGAGCCUGGAGAAGAUGGAGAGGGAGCCCGUGUUCAGUCCAGAGAGGGUCUCCGAGCGACAGGAGGAUUCAUUCACCAUGGAAAAGGCUCUCUCCCCUUCGGAUUCCUUAGAAGACCUCAUCAGGAGCCUGGAGCGAGAGGAGUGGUAGCCUUGGUCUGACACCGCAAGGCCUUGAUGAAAACUGCGGAGCAACCAGGACCCUGCAGCCUGGCGACUUGCUCCUGAGAUGAAGGGUGACCUCCAGAAGGCUUUCUCCCUGCUCCUAUCUGGACACAGGAUGCUGCAGACAGGUAAGGAAAAGAGCUGGAAGAAAACAAAGUCUUCUCCACUGAAGAGGCUCUCUAGUGAGGUGUAGGGCUGAGUUUGCUUUAGACAGGGCCUCCAUGGAAGGG
Molecule: long non-coding RNA, 493 nt
Filed under: Pogona vitticeps (central bearded dragon)
Lineage: Eukaryota; Metazoa; Chordata; Lepidosauria; Squamata; Agamidae
Description: lncRNA (ENSPVIG00000001246.1)
Source: RNAcentral